ACUCCUACGGGAGGCAGCAGUGGGGAAUAUUGCACAAUGGGGGAAACCCUGAUGCAGCCAUGCCGCGUGUGUGAAGAAGGCCUUCGGGUUGUAAAGCACUUUCAGUAGGGAGGAAGGUAGUGUAGUUAACACCUGCACUAUUUGACGUUACCUACAGAAGAAGCACCGGCUAACUCCGUGCCAGCAGCCGCGGUAAUACGGAGGGUGCGAGCGUUAAUCGGAAUUACUGGGCGUAAAGCGCAUGCAGGCGGCCUGUUAAGUCAGAUGUGAAAGCCCGGGGCUUAACCUCGGAAUUGCAUUUGAAACUGGCAGGCUAGAGUCUUGUAGAGGGGGGUAGAAUUUCAGGUGUAGCGGUGAAAUGCGUAGAGAUCCGAAGGAUACCAGUGGCGAAGGCGGCCCCCUGGACAAAGACUGACGCUCAGAUGCGAAAGCGUGGGGAGCAAACAGGAUUAGAUACCCUGGUAGCACAGAG
RNAcentral lists this ribosomal RNA (472 nucleotides) under uncultured bacterium. RNAcentral's name for it is "bacterial SSU rRNA". It matches the Rfam family "Bacterial small subunit ribosomal RNA", at positions 335 to 799 of the family's 1533-position model. The record is from RNAcentral.